CCCUUAGAUGUCCUGGGCCGCACGCGUGCUACACUGACGCAUACAGCGAGCACUUUCCAGUUCCGAGAGGCUACUGGUAAUCAUCAAUAUGCGUCGUGAUGGGGAUAGAUCUUUGGAAUUCUGGAUCUUGAACGAGGAAUGCCUAGUAAUCGCAGGUCAUUAGCCUGCGAUGAUUAAGUCCCUGCCCUUUGUACACACCGCCCGUCGCUACUACCGAUUUCGAGUGGUCAGGUGAAUCUUUCGGACUGUGGGCGCCCUUGAGGUGUUCGCGGAAAGUCAGGUAAAUCUUAUCACUUAGAGGAGGUAAAAGUCGUAACA
RNAcentral lists this ribosomal RNA (318 nucleotides) under uncultured eukaryote. RNAcentral describes it as "partial 18S ribosomal RNA". It matches the Rfam family "Eukaryotic small subunit ribosomal RNA", at positions 1470 to 1796 of the family's 1831-position model. The record is from RNAcentral.